GUUAGGAAUCGCCAUUUUUUGAGGAAUAUUUGUUAUUCGUUAGCUGAUUGAUUCUCAGAAUGGACUUUCGUAAUAGCUUUUCGCCUCGUUCUGGGAGAUUGAAAGAUCUUAAGGAUUCCUUUCGUCAUCUCGUGUCUAGGAGUCAUGAUGCAGCCACGGUGGAUGGUGUAAAAUCUGAGAGUGUAUUGAAGGACUUCUAUAUUCCAGAUUACAUUCUUGUGGCUGGAUCAGAGCCAGAGAUAUACAAUGAGGAAUUUCAUUCGCCUUCGUGCCCUGUCAUUGUGUUUAUCAACUCAAAAAGUGGAGGCCAGCUCGGAGGGGAACUUCUUGUUACGUAUCGCUCCCUUCUUAACCAAAACCAGGUUAUUGAUUUGGGAGAAAAGGCUCCUGAUAAGGUCCUCCAUCAAAUUUAUGCCACUCUGCAAACUCUCAAGAACAGCGGUGAUGAAUUGGCUACUGAAAUUGAGAAGCGACUAAGAAUUAUCGUUGCAGGUGGAGAUGGUACAGCUGGUUGGCUCCUCAGUGUAGUUUGCGAUCUCAAACUACCUCAACCUCCACCAAUUGCUACAGUGCCUUUGGGAACCGGAAAUAACCUCCCAUUUUCAUUUGGUUGGGGAAAGAAAAACCCAGGCACAGACAGUUUAUCUGUGGAGUCAUUCUUGGAACAAGUAAGGGCUGCCAAGGAAAUGAAAAUUGACAGCUGGCAUAUUAUCAUGAGAAUGAA
This 724-nucleotide unclassified non-coding RNA is filed under the name Hevea brasiliensis (rubber tree). The record is from RNAcentral. Lineage: Eukaryota; Viridiplantae; Streptophyta; Magnoliopsida; Malpighiales; Euphorbiaceae.